This 3600-nucleotide ribosomal RNA is filed under the name Triticum aestivum (bread wheat). Its description in RNAcentral is "partial small subunit ribosomal RNA". Lineage: Eukaryota; Viridiplantae; Streptophyta; Magnoliopsida; Poales; Poaceae. The record is from RNAcentral.
AUGGCUAUGCGCUACAUCCCCAUCUUCUUCCUCCUAUUCUUGAGUUCAUUCUGCAAAUCCGAUGAUCAACUCACACAAGCAAAGCCACUCACCCACGGCCACACUCUCGUCUCCGAAAGCGGAGACUUUGCUCUUGGCUUCUUCUCCCCGACGGCCUCCAACAGGAGCUUUUACCUUGGCAUAUGGUACCAUAGCCUCCCCGGACCACGGACUGUUGUGUGGGUCGCCAAUCGAGACAACCCAAUCACCAACCCUUCGUCUGGGACGCUUACCGUCACCAACAAAUCAUCAUUGGUAUUAUCUGACUCCAAUGGCCGCAAUAUAUGGAUGACAGCAAGCAAUAUAGCCGCUAGAGUUGCCAGAGCUCAUGCAGUGCUACUCAACUCGGGAAACUUUGUUCUCCGGUCGCCGAAUGGCGCGGACAUAUGGCAGAGCUUUGAUCAUCCGACCGACACAAUGCUUCCAACAAUGAGAUUUUUGGCAAGCUACAAGGCACAAGUCGUCGGGCGGUUCAUUGCUUGGAAGGGACCACAUAACCCGUCCUCCGGGGACUUUUCCUUAAGUAGUGACCCCAGCUCGACAACCCCCCAGCUCGUCAUUUGGCAUCUGAGCAAGCCAUACUGCCGCACCACUGUGUUGAAUGAAGCUUCGGUGAUUUACGGAGGGACAUACCUGAGCAACACCGGAUCUGUAUUGUAUGAAGCAAAUAUUAACUCUAGAGGUGAGUACUACAUCAUGUUCACAGUCUCCGAGAACUCGCCAUUCACACGCAUCACACUUGACUACAGUGGCAAGUCCCAAUUUCUAAGCUGGAACAAUCAGUCAUCUUCAUGGGCACUAAUUGGUGAACACCCCACUGCUGCAUGCGACCUCUAUGCCUUGUGUGGCCCCUUCAGUUAUUGUGACUACACUCAGAUUAUCCCAGCCUGCCAAUGUCUUGAGGGGUUUGAGCCCAUUGAUGAUAUUAGCUCUUCUAAAGGAUGUUCCAGACAAGUUCUUGCACAUACCGAGUGCAACUGCAACUGCUCAUGCACGGCUUACGCUUAUGCCAACUUGAGCAGGGCUGGUGCUAUGGCCGACUCAUCAAGGUGCUUGGUUUGGUUAGGGGAACUUAUUGACGCUGGGAAAGGAACCGCUGGCGAGAACCUUUACUUCCGACUUGCCGAUGCUCCUGUUGAGAAAAAGAUAAGUUCAGUAAAGAUUGUACUCCCGAUUGUGGCAUUCUUGCUGCUACUAACAUGCAUAGCCCUCGUCUGGAUGUACAAAUGCAGAGGUUUUGGCAAAGUUUACAAGGGCACACUGAAAGGUGGAAAUGAAGUUGCUGUCAAGAGGCUCAGUAAGGGUUCUAAACAAGGCAGGCCCGUUGACAAGGCUGUGCGAACGGUGCGAUCGCACAGGGCCCCCGAAAUCUUGGGGCCCCCGAUCAGGGAAAACCAACACAACAUCCUACAGGAUGGCAGGGCGUGGGCCUCAUUUCGCAUUUCGCACCGGGGCCCCUAUUUCCUGGAGACGGCCCUGAAACAAGGUAUAGUGGAGUUCAAAAAUGAAGUAGUUCUGAUUGCCAAGCUGCAGCGCAAGAACCUAGUCAGACUUCUUGGAUUUUGCAUUCAGGAGGAUGAGAAGUUGCUGAUCUAUGAAUAUUUACCUAACAAAAGUUUGGACGCCUUUCUUUUUGAGAAUGAAAGCGCACUGCUUCCAACUCCAAAACAACCUGUAUAUUUCUCUCCAAAGCUCCUUCUCUUCGGAUGGCUCUCCUCCGGCAACACCAUCGUCUCCAAGGGCGGGGACUUCGCACUCGGCUUCUUCUCCCCGGAUGGCUCCAACACGAGCUUGUACCUUGGCAUAUGGUACCACAACAUACCCGGCCGCACCGUUGUAUGGACCGCCAAGCGCGAUGAUCCAAUCGCCGCCGCUUCGUCUCCGACGCUCACCAUCACCAACAGUUCUGACAUGGUGUUGUCGGACUCCCAAGGUCGCACUCAUUGGGCCGUGAAGAACAACAUCAUGGGCAUAGUUUUGAUCACCCGACGGACACGCCCCCCCCCAGGUAGGAUUGUGUUGAGCAAGAAGGGCCAUGUCGUUUGGCGCCUGAUUGCUUCUAAGGGCCUCAAUGACAUGUCAACUGGAGUCUUUUCUAUGAGUCUUGAUCCUAGCUCUGACCUUCAGUUUUUCAUUUGGAAUGGGACAAGGCCCUACCGCUGCCUCUCUAUCUUCAAUGGUAACAUGGCGGUUGGCAACAUAUACCAGAAUACUGUCUUGUAUGAAGCCAUUGUUAGCACAGGGGAUGGGUUCUAUUAUGAUUUUAGAGUCUCUGAUGGCUCACAGUAUGCACAUCUUACGCUCGACUACAUGGGUGUGUUGAUUCUGAGAUUGAACAACCGCUCAUCUUGGACUACCAUCACCGCACCCCCUGCUAGCUGUGACAUCUACGCUUCAUGUGGCCCGUUCAGCUAUUGUGACUACACGGCGGCUCUCUGUCGUUGCCUCGAUGGGUUUGAGCCCUCUGGUCCUAACUUUUCAAGCGGAUGUAGAAGAAUCGAAGAGCUGAAAUGCAGCAAGCAAACCUACUUUAGCACUAAUGGUGCUAUGGCCGACCAGUCACGGUGCUUGGUUUGGACAGUUCAAAAGAAUAACAAAUUGGUAAAGAUUGUACUACCAACCAUGGCAUGCGUGCUGAUACUUGCAUGUAUAGCCCUUGUCAGCAUAUGCAAAUACAGAGCAAUCACAUGGCAGAAGAAGGAAAUACACAAGGGGCUGAUGCUAGGAUACCUUAGCUCGUCCAGUGAAAUGGGUGGUGAACAUGUCGAGUUUCCAUUUGUUAGCUUCGAAGAUAUUGCUACUGAAACGGAUAAUUUCUCUGAAUUUAACCAAAUUGGAAGUGGAGGUUUUGGUAAAGUUUACAAGGGACUGUUGCAAGGUGACAAAGAAGUUGCUAUCAAAAGGCUUAAAAUCUUGUUAGACUUCUUGGUUGUUGUGUUUAUGGAGAUGAGAGAUGAUACAAGACAAUAUGUGCUUGAUUGGCCCACACGCUUCAAAAUAAUUAAAGGGGUAGCGAGAGGGCUUCUUUACCUCCACCAAGAUUCAAGAUUAACUAUAAUUCACAGAGAUCUCAAACCAAGCAACAUCUUGUUGGAUUCCGAAAUGACUUCCAAAAUAUCAGACUUCGGUAUGGCGAGGAUCUUUGGUGGAAACAAACAAGAGGCAAACACUACCCGGGUUGUUGGGACAUAUGCUUACAUGUCGCCUGAAUAUGUGAUGGGAGGUGCCUUUUCUAUAAAAUCGGACACCUAUAGCUUCGGUGUUCUCCUCUUGGAGAUUAUAAGUGGAUUGAAGAUCACCUCCCAGCAACUCGUAAUGAACUUUGUCAGCCUUACAGCUUAUGCAUGGAGACUAUGGGAAGAUGGAAAAGCAACAGAACUGGUGCACUCUUCAGUUACUGAGAGUUGUUCACUUGAUGAAGUUCUAUGGUGUAUCCAUGUCGGACUCCUGUGCGUUCAAGACUGUCCGAAUGAUAGGCCACUCAUGGCAUCAGUUACUUUUAUGUUGGAGAAUGGAAGUGCACUGCUCCCACUCCAAAGCAACCUGUAUAUUUUGCUCUAA